GGGGCUGUGUUCUAACUUGGCUAGGAUUCCUGCUUAGGGAGCAGGCGGUAGGGGUUCAAAUCCUCCUAGCCCCA
This 74-nucleotide transfer RNA is filed under the name Candidatus Woesearchaeota archaeon. RNAcentral's name for it is "tRNA-Pro". It matches the Rfam family "tRNA". Rfam says of the family: Transfer RNA (tRNA) molecules are approximately 80 nucleotides in length. Lineage: Archaea; Nanobdellati; Candidatus Woesearchaeota. The record is from RNAcentral.